RNAcentral lists this ribosomal RNA (511 nucleotides) under Vibrio sp. QPT_3_71. RNAcentral's name for it is "bacterial SSU rRNA". It matches the Rfam family "Bacterial small subunit ribosomal RNA", at positions 373 to 876 of the family's 1533-position model. The record is from RNAcentral. Lineage: Bacteria; Pseudomonadati; Pseudomonadota; Gammaproteobacteria; Vibrionales; Vibrionaceae.
GGGCGCAAGCCUGAUGCAGCCAUGCCGCGUGUGUGAAGAAGGCCUUCGGGUUGUAAAGCACUUUCAGUCGUGAGGAAGGUGGUGGUGUUAAUAGCUGUAUCAUUUGACGUUAGCGACAGAAGAAGCACCGGCUAACUCCGUGCCAGCAGCCGCGGUAAUACGGAGGGUGCGAGCGUUAAUCGGAAUUACUGGGCGUAAAGCGCAUGCAGGUGGUUUGUUAAGUCAGAUGUGAAAGCCCGGGGCUCAACCUCGGAAUAGCAUUUGAAACUGGCAGACUAGAGUACUGUAGAGGGGGGUAGAAUUUCAGGUGUAGCGGUGAAAUGCGUAGAGAUCUGAAGGAAUACCGGUGGCGAAGGCGGCCCCCUGGACAGAUACUGACACUCAGAUGCGAAAGCGUGGGGAGCAAACAGGAUUAGAUACCCUGGUAGUCCACGCCGUAAACGAUGUCUACUUGGAGGUUGUGGCCUUGAGCCGUGGCUUUCGGAGCUAACGCGUUAAGUAGACCGCCUGG